Ixodes scapularis (black-legged tick) is the source of this 557-nucleotide long non-coding RNA. RefSeq lists it as uncharacterized. Lineage: Eukaryota; Metazoa; Arthropoda; Arachnida; Ixodida; Ixodidae. The record is from RefSeq and is a predicted model, not a curated record. The transcript has 4 exons.
CUCCGAGUCGUGCGCCCGUGCCGCGCAGGCGCAAACAGAGGUUGCAGCAGCUAUCGCCAUGCCAUGCUAUCGCUCUUCGGGCGUUCGUCGAACUCGCCUCGGUGGCUGUUGACAUCGUGGUCAGUGUAGUGUUCUGUGAUGCAUCAGGGCCUCAUCAGCUCAUCGACGACUAAAUCGCCCACUUCAAGGUUCCAGUUGCACCAAGCAGGUGCACUCACCCUCAGGUUGCAAGCCGCUCUCUUCAAGUCGCAUGGGGUGCUUUAUGAGGUCCCAGCUGCACCAAACAGGUGCACGCACCAUUACAGAUUGCAAGCCGUUCUCUUUAAGCCACAUGGAAUGUUCCAUGAGGUGAGCGUGCAUUUGUAGUGGUCCUUGGGACAUGUGCUGUAGGCUUAUGUAUUACUGGCUUUGUCUUUGUGGUAUACGCCAGGCUGUAUUAAAUAUAUUGCAGGUCCCAGCAACAAAAAUUGCAAGCCGCUCUCUUCAAGCCGCGUGGAGUGCUCUCUGAGUUCCCAUCUACACCAAGCGGGUUGACCCACCGUCAGACCGCAAGCCGC